CCCUUAGAUGUUCUGGGCCGCACGCGUGCUACACUGAGUGGAUCAGCGGGUCAGGUUGCGCGAAAGCGUUUCCUAAUCUUUAAAUCCGCUCGUGAUGGGGAUUGACGGUUGCAAUUUUCUGUCAUGAACGAGGAAUACCUUGUAAGCGCGGGUCAUCAUCCCGCGCUGAAUACGUCCCUGCCCUUUGUACACACCGCCCGUCGCUCCUACCGAUUGAGUGGUCCGGUGAGGCUUUGGGAUCUGAGCGGAAAGAGCGUUUCGCUGUUUCUGCUCGGAAAACUCAGUCGAACCUUAUCAUUUAGAGGAAAGAGAAGUCGUAACA
This 322-nucleotide ribosomal RNA is filed under the name uncultured eukaryote. RNAcentral's name for it is "partial 18S ribosomal RNA". It matches the Rfam family "Eukaryotic small subunit ribosomal RNA", at positions 1470 to 1796 of the family's 1831-position model. The record is from RNAcentral.